Anarrhichthys ocellatus (wolf-eel) is the source of this 9688-nucleotide RNA transcript. It is a transcript of the gene named ArfGAP with RhoGAP domain, ankyrin repeat and PH domain 1, with no coding region annotated. The record is from RefSeq and is a predicted model, not a curated record. Lineage: Eukaryota; Metazoa; Chordata; Actinopteri; Perciformes; Anarhichadidae. The transcript has 33 exons.
CCAAAAGGUAGAUAAUGUACCUCAGAACUGAGGACACUGACAGUAAGCAGAGUUGAGCCUGACAUCAGCCAGCACUGAUCAGCGUGAACAGAGCAAAUGGAACAUCCUGGCUCUCUGUUUGUGUGUCAAAUUGAAAGGGGAUGUGAGCCUCAAACAAUUUCUGAGGCCCCACCGCCCCUACCAACUUCACACAAACAAUGUUAUUAGGUGAGCACUUGUGUUAGAAAGUGUGACCAGAUUUGACCAGUGGGCCCCCACCAUGCGUUUCCCUCCUUCAUCUCAGUGUGCGUGUAUUUUGUGUGUUGUGUGUUGUGUGUGUGUGUGUGUGUGUGUGUGUGUGUGUGUGAACUUUCCUAGGCAACAGAAUGCUCCAUUGUGAAGGCAGCACAGAGACCCUGUUAUUGGCGGCUUUCUGAGUGGGAGGAGGGAGCGCAAAGCAAGAGGGCGAGAGUGGAGAGAUAAAUAAAUUGAAAUGUGCAGAGAGCAAAAUGCUUUUUUGAAAAUAUCCUUGUUUGACACUUUACCGACAGCCAAGGUGAAAAGAUCAAUAUCAAUUUUAUCUCUCUGCAUUGAGUGCAGAGAAAGGUCCGAGUAGUGUUUUGCGGAGCGAAGCACAAACACAGGAUGCAGGUCUGUCAAGAGUGAAAGAGUAGUCGUUGCUACAUCUCCUAAAAGGUUGUAUCUACAUGAUACAUCUUAGGCAGCAAACUAAUCAUCAGUACAUUAAAGAGGCAGCCAGGUUUUGUUCAGAGUUAGGACACCUGACAAUGUAAAACUAGUAAUUCUGAUCCUGGAUCAACUGAAGGAUGUGGGCCAUGAAAGUAAGUCUUUUGGAUGGAGGACCUCAAAGCCAGGAGGAUGAACUUGCACUUUUUUUUUUUUUUCCAAGGGAGGUUGUUUGCCUCACAGAGACCAAAACAAAAGGCGUGUUUGUUAGCUGUUUGGCCAGAAAGUUUGAACUAUGUGAGUGUGUAAAUAACAGUGGUAAACUGGAGUUUUCUUGUGUUUCAUGACAUUACAAUGCCUUAUUUAUACACAUGAUGGAUGACUGGCAAACAAUUCACAGAGAUAAUAGUAAAUAAAUGUCCACAUAAUAGACCCCAUAAUGCCUUCAAUCCAGUUCUUGCCAGAUGUGGUUUUGAAUUUGAGCAUUUAUUAAGUCGCUAUAAUAUAAAAAAUGCAGCACAAAGGAUGCUCAGAAAUACAAUUUAUAUACAUUUUCUCAUGUUCAUUAACCUGCCUGCAGUCAUGUCUUAAAGUGGUGCUCCUUACAUCUGGUACUGUAGGAAGUUUUGUGUCCGUAUUAACGCGGCAUCUCUUUAAACUGUUAUGCAGACGACACACAGUUGUACGCUACAGUUAAGCUUAGUUUGUUGGGUUCUCUACAGGAUUGCUUGGUUGGUCAAAAAACAAAUGUCAAAAUCAAGUCUGUUGCAACAAAAUCGCAAUGUUCUCAAGGUUUUUAUCACCUUAAAAUAUUUAAGUAAAAACUGCUUUACAUUUUGGAGCCUCAGAGAUUAUCUGGCAUGCUUUUAUCUUGUCACUCCUUGGUUAUUGCAGCAGUCUUGUCACUUGUCUUAGUAAAAAAACAACAACUUUUGAGCGGCUACAGAUUGAAGAACUCAGCUGCCUGACUGGGUGUUAUUCAAAGAGAACAGUUUUCAUUAUUAUUUCUCACCCUCUAUAUUAGCGUUUAACACUUGUGCCUCAUUUCUUAAAGACGCCCACACACACACACCGAACGCACACACGCACACACACACACCGAACACACAAGGCUGAUUAAGGGCUUUUCUGAACCAUAGUGUUGAGGUGAAAAUGUGUGUUUGGUCAAAGAUGCUGAGUCCUGCUACUUAAAUGUGUGCGUGUGUUCAAAUGUCAUAUUUGGACUUUUGUGCGUCUCCAAUGACGGUAGACGACCAAUCGCACUAAUUUAUGGUGUGAGUUAAGUUCCUCAAUUCAGAAAUAGGAACUACAGUUGAUCAGAGUGUAAGAUUCACCCUGUCCCUGUGCUCUGUGGUAUCUGCCCUGUCAGAGGAAGCUUUUGACAGGAAAUGAAAUGUCCUCAUUUGAACACACUCGCACACUGGUGAGUAACCCAUCUCGGUCUGGUCUGUGUGGGUUACUGUGUGCUCGCUCAGCCUCCUCCACCCUCACGUCUGGCUACCAAAUGAAAUCAGGUUGUGUAAGCCAUGAUCUGAGGAGUUAAAGUCAACUUGUUCCCUCUGUGGACGACACAGACUCGCCCUCCCACAUGCUGCACUCCCACACAUCAGUCAUGUCUCAGUCUGAACCCACUAGUUACACUGUGUGGGAGUGGUUAUGUGUUAUUCGCCUGGAGCAGUACUCUGAGGCAUUUCUGAGUUCCGGGCUGGCAACAUUCCGACAAUGUCGCAGCCUCACACCAGAUCAGCUGGAGCGCAUGGGCAUCACCCUGCCGGGUCACCAGAGACGCAUCCUGGCCAGCCUGAACAAAAGGCACGGGAACAGCGACACACAAUCUGACACACACUCUCACCUUGUACCGUCUGAAGGAGAUCAGAGAUUGGAGGAAACGGGACACGCCAAAGCGUUGCAGAGAGAGAGACCCGUGCCUAUCCCAGUGGAGGAAAAACCUGUCCUCAAGGAAAGGGGGAAAAGAGACGGAGAGACAUUGAGACCUUUACCCAGGGAAAGAGAGAAACCAGUCCCCAGGGAGAGACAAGUGCCCAGGAUGAAAGAGGUAAGUGGAGAAGUAGGAGAGAAGAGGCCGGUUCCUGGACAAAGACAGACAGCAGCUAGAGAAGGAAAAGUGGAAGAGAGGGAUGGAGGAAUAGAUGGAGAGAAGGAGAAGCCUGUGCCCAAAGAAAGGACUCGGUUUCGCUCCAGUGCUCCAGUGGAGUGCGACCCCAGCCAACUUGUCUCUCCAGCUUCUGAUGCCCCUUUACCCCCUGUCCCUCCACGAAGCAUCCCCAACUGUCCUCCACAGUGCUUCACCUCCCCCCUCAGCCCCUCACCUCCUGCUCGAGCCCCUGCCUCCCCCAAACCGGACAGACAUGCGGUUAAAGCCCCAGCUGUACAAAGCAGAUUCCAGUUUUCCACCCCCGCCAGCUCCCCCACACAUGCACCUCUCCACCCUCCCAACUCCCUCUCUGCUCAAACUCGGCCUCAGACGUUAGCUAUUCAGCCCCCUGCCCAUCAUUUGGGUGGUGACGGAGGAAGAAUAACUUCAUCCGUCUCCCGAACUGUGUUCCUCAGCAAUGACGUAAAUGCUCCACCUCUCCCACCAAAAGCAGGGGCGGUAUCUAAAGGCCCUCCACCAAUCCCACACCGCUCCUCUCCCACCAAAACAGUCACUGAUGAGGUGCAGAAAGACCAAACUCCACAGGUCCCACCUCGCAUCAGGACACCCCAAACUCUAGAAGACGCACAUCAGUCAAAUCAACCGGACACUCAGCCGGCACUGCCUGCUCAGAGAGUCACUCAAUCCAGGUUGGAUUCACUCGAUGAUUGUUCUGAUGACUACGAGGAUCCAGACUCGUUUUACCCCAGUGCUCAUCGAAUAAACGCACCAGACAGGGAUAUGUCCCUGCAAGUGCCUGUCAAGGCAAAAGGACAGCGCAGUUCUUUGUACAGUGAUGAUGAGCAGUUGGAUGAUGAUGAUCCCAGUCUAUGGCAGGAUGGGGGGGGCAUGGGCAGUCAGCAAGGAAGCUUCUACCUGCCAAACACGGGCAGACUGACACCGGCCACUAAAGACGACAGCUCUCAGCUUGCUGCUGUCAUUAAGAUGGGCUGGCUGGACAAGAAUCCACCUCAGGGGGCCCUUUAUUAUCAGCGAAGAUGGGUGAAGCUGGAUGUUGACUACGUGAGAUACUUUGACAAUGAGAAGGAUGUGUAUUCUAAGGGGAUCAUCUCUACCGCCUUCGUUACUAAUGUGACCAGUGUGGGCGAGCUGAAGUUUGAGGUCGUCACAAACAACCGAACAUUUAUCUUCAGGGCUGAAAGUGAAGUCGAGAGAAACGAGUGGGUGACUGUACUGAAGGACUGCACCAGGGGGCGCCAUCUGCGCAGCACCAUGAACCCAGGCUCACCUUUGUCCCCGGACUAUCAGGGAUAUCUGGAGCUCAGAGGGUUACGCUCCAAACUUUAUACCGUUGUAGCCUCAGAUAAAGUCUUCCUCUACAAAAACAUUGAGGACUAUCGUAUAGGAGUGGGUAUCACAUCCAUUGAGAUGAAUGUUGGCAAUGUUAAAGACUCAGAUCGUCGUGGCUUUGAUCUCACCACGCCUUACCGCAUAUUCAGUUUCAUCGCAGAAACAGAGCAGCUACGAGAGCAGUGGGUGAACGCCAUGAGGAAUGCGAUCGAUGAGGCGCUGUCGAAUAGCGAGGUGGCCGAGCGGAUCUGGGCGGAGCCUAGCAACAGCCUUUGUGCCGACUGUGAGGCUCCCCAGCCGGAAUGGGCUGCCAUCAACUUGUGCGUGGUGGUCUGCAAGCGAUGUGCAGGAGAGCACAGAGGACUAGGUCCUAGCAUCUCAAAGGUUCGUAGUCUGAAGAUGGACAGGAAAGUCUGGACAGAGGAGCUUAUACAGGUGUUUCUGUUGCUGGGCAACGAGCGGGUAAACAGCUUCUGGGCGGCUAACGUCCCGCCAAGUGAAGCUUUGGAACAGUCUAGCUGCAGUGAAGAGAGACGGCGCUUCAUCACCAACAAGUACCGCCACGGCAAAUACAGGAAGUACCACCCGCUAUUCAGAAACCAGAGAGAGCUCAACAAUGCUCUUUGUAUAAAUGUGCAGUGCAGCGAUGUGCUGGAAACGUUGAGCUUGAUUUUCUGCGGUGCAGAUGUGAAUUGUUCAACUGGUAUGGCAAGUUGGCCCUCUGCUCUCUCCCUGGCCAACGCACACUCGCAACCCUUACAGGCUGAGUUAAUAAGCCUCAAUCUCAACACAGAGCUGCCACGGUCAGAGAUGGAUGAAGACAAGCCGAUACAUUACUCAGCACCACGUUGUGUGUCUCACAAUGGCUUCCUGUUCAAGACUGCAUCCAUGGCUCGGGCCAUCACAGAGCGCAAGGGCAAAGACGAGUUCAGUCGUCGCUGGUGCACUGUGAAUGAUGGCACCUUCAGCUACUAUGAGAGUGACAAGAACUCGAACCCUAACGGUGCUUUGAAGGCUUCAGAGAUCGUCUGCUUAGCUGUUGACGCGCCUGAGAGACACGGGUAUGAACACACCUUUGAACUUUACUCGGGGUCAGAGCGUCUCUAUCUGUUCGGCACCGAUGACCCAGACAGCCACAAGGAAUGGGUCAAGUCUAUUGCCAAGAGUUUUAUCCCGACAACCGCAGAGCCGCUACUGAAGUUGACUUUUGAGCGGAUCGGGCGGCUGAAAUGUAAAGACGGCUUGAACCUACAAACAUCCAAGGUGGGCUGGUUUGCUCUGGUGGGCUCCACACUUCACGCCUACCUGGAGGACAGCCAGGGACAGCCAGAGGAGAUCCACCUCCGCAAACUGAAUGAACUCUCGAUUCAACAAGACAAUGAGGUGCUGGUUCUGGUGGAGAGAGGCAGAACUCUGUACAUAGAGGGAGAGAGGAAGUUGGAUUUUUCCGGCUGGUGCGGUGCCAUCCAGGCGGCAGCGGGGAGUGGAGGAGACACACUGAGCCAGCAGCAGCUGACAGAGACAGACAUACCUGUCAUAGUACACAGCUGCAUCGGCUACAUCACGCGGUGCGGCUUGACCUCUGAGGGGAUAUAUCGUAAGAGCGGUGUGCAAUCCCGUGUAACAGCGCUGUUUGAGAGAUUUCAUCGUGAUGCUCGCAGUCUCCUUCUGAGAGAAGGAGAGCACCAGGUGGACGACGUCUCCAACAUGCUCAAACGCUUCUUCAGGGAGUUAGGGGAGGGACUGUUCACAUCACAGGAUGCCAGCACCUGGCUCAGUGCAGCUGCUAUUCAGGAUGAAAGCAAGAAAAUCUCCCAAUACCGGCUGCUGUUGAACAGACUGCCUUGUGUCAACAAGGCUACACUACAGGCCCUUAUCAACCACCUCUAUUGCGUGCAGCGUUUUUCUGAGCUGAACCAGAUGAACCUCCAUAACCUGGCCAUAGUAUUCGGUCCCACAAUGUUCCAGAGCGACGGGAAGGACUUCAGUGCUGGCCGCGCCAUAGAGGACCUCAUACAGCACUACACAUCAAUCUUUGAGGUGGAUGAACAGCAGCUCAAGAAGCAGCUGGAAGAGAUCACUGUUAUCAUCAAAGUGCGAAAUCUCGAUACGUUUCCUAAUCCUGAACCUGGAGGGCACUUCAUCUGUACAGUGUACCUGGAGGAAAAGAAGGAGACAGCAGAGCAACACGUCAAGAUCCCUGGUUCUAUGACCGCAGCAGAGCUGACCUGUGAGGUCCUGGACCGGCGUAACAUCCGGGUUAAAGACAAAGAGUACUGGAACUGCUGGGAGGUCAGCGACAAGGAGGAAAUGGAACGUCCACUGCACUAUCAGGAGCGAGUCUUACCCACCCUUCACUCCUUUGGCACCGAGUCCCAUCUGCUCAUCAAGAAACACCUCGCUAUGGAGGCGAUGAUGCUCUACCUGGCCAGUAAAGUCGAUGCAUCCAAACACGGGAUGAUGAAAUUCAGAGAAGAGCGAAGCAUCUUGGGACGCCCCUCUGGAAGUUUCCACGACCGAUAUUUCGUCCUCAAUUCCAACUCUCUCAGAAUGUACAAGGAAGUGAGAAGUAACCGUACAGAACGUGAUUGGCCAGUGAAAAACCUAAAGUUCUACAUGGGUAUUAAAAAGAAAGUCCGUCCUCCUACAUGUUGGGGACUAACAGUCGUGUAUGAGGGUAAGAAACAAGAGAAACAAGAGAAGCAGGAGAGACAGCAGUGGUAUCUCUGCUGUGACUCCCAGUCAGAUAUGAGGGAGUGGUAUGCCACUUUCCUAAGUAUCCAGUACGAUGGCAACGUGUGGCCUCAGGACGGACUCCAGCAGACACGAGUGAGCCGCGUGUUGCCGGAUACGCGUCACGGUAAUGUGUCACUGAUACCACUGCGUGGCAGUGAGAAUGAGAUGCGGAACAGCGUGGCAGCUUUCAGCCAAGACCCGCUUGCUGUGAGUGAACCUACCAAUCACUGGGAAUAAUCUAGAUCAGACCAGGAAGCUCAAUCUGGAGCUACUGGUUUAUCAGAGACAUUCAUGCUGAAACAGGUGGUCCAGACCCUCAACCCUGAUUCUCACCAAAGAGGUGAACAAAUUUGUGCUAGUUGUGUAAUGUGUACAUUGCAUUUGGAGUGAAAAAAAAAGUCUCCUCUGAAUUCUACUCAGUUUUAAAGACAUGCACAUUUAGUGUUGCUUCAAUAUUUGUCUUCUCUUUUCAUUAUUCCCUUCCGCCAAAAGGAAGACAGGAGUUGGGGGUUACAUCUGUGCAGAAUCAAUAAUCUCUGUUCAAUGAUUCAUCUUUGAUUUAAUCAUCAUGACAAGAUCUGGGUUCUUAAACUGGCUCUUUUGACCAGAAACAGACUAAAGGGCGCUUCCUUGAAGUGUUUUCAUUAGCCUGGAUUCCAGGGCAAGAGAAUAAAUUCCCAGGUUAUGUCUGCGUCUAAAAAUGUUUAAGAAUCCAGAUGAGGUGAAGAGGAGGAGAGGGCAGCAUCUUCAUAUUGUAGGUUUGGAUUGAGAACCAACAAAACCAGAAUUACAGCAAGAGUCAUUCUUGGCGAGGCGCUGCCAAAGCUUUGCAAACAGAAUCUUAAGAAUAACACAUUUAAAGUGAACUCAUGCCCGCAGGCAAAAUAUGGCCACUCGCCAACAUUUUGUUUCACAGCACUGCUUCUGGCAUGUCAGCUCAGAGUUGUAUACUUGGCAAGAAUUUGACAAACACCAUCACUGUGGUUUGUUGGACUACAUUUCAAGCAUACUGACAUAAAUCCGGACCUGCGACAUCAAUGGUGGUAUGCGACCAAAUGUCCACAAUAUAAUGAUGCAGUUGUCUCCUUCUGGUGUUUCUGUAGCCAUCACAUGUCUCUCGUUAGUGCGCUGCAGACUGCAGCAGCACAUAAGAAUUCAACACAGUCUGCUGUUACUUCCAUUGGCAAAAACACAAUUCCAGGGUUGUUGUUGCCUUCCACAUAUUUUUCUAUUGAUCCUUGUCUUUUCAGUGUAUCGACUGGAUAAAAAAAUAAAUAUUUGGAGCAUGAGAGGGGGUGUGAUUGCUUUGGUGAUGGAGCAGCAGCAGCAGAAGCUGUAUUUAUGCAAGAUGUUUGUGUAUGUGGGUGUGGAGGAGAGAGAUUUACUGUAUAUUGAUAUGCCCAAUUUUCAACGUGAAGUAAAAGAGUAAGUACGGAGCACUGACCAUGUGUCGGUGUGUGUGUGUGUGUUUGUGUGUGUGUGUGUGUGUGUGUGUGUGUGUGUGUGUGUGUGUGUGUGUGUGUGUGUGUGUGUGUGUGUGUGUGUGUGAGAGAGAGAGAGAGGAUGGUUGACUGCUCCUGUUUAUGACUCUCAAGGUGAAAUCUGAUGAUGUUUGUUGUGCCUUUUUGAAUGUUGGUAUCACGCAUUCACCACAUCUCUCCUUGCUCUGACAAGGCUUCUUCACACUUGUCUUUCUUUUUAGACGUACCAUCGACACCUGCUUGCCUCUUAGUCUCUUUCACUCUACGUUUCCCUCCUGUCUGCAGUCCAUCAGUCUUCACCUCCUAUUUCUACACCUCUCGGUUUCUCCAUCUGUCCAUCUCCCUCCCUGUCAUAACCCCUCUGCUGUUUAUCUUUCAGCUCUUUAGAGAUGUUCGAUAAAGUUCGCUGCAAGAAAGGCGGACAGUCGGCCUCAGAAGACCUCUGAACAUUCCAGUGACGACGUCAUUCUGCCGUUGUAAGGGCCACAAUGAUGGACACUCGUACUCUGUGUGGAUUAUGGCCUUAGACUGCCAUCUGCUCCUUUGAAUAUGAACUGGACUGAAACGGACAAACAGGAUCACAUGUAAAAUAUAAGCAACACUGGCCUCCUGCACAAAAUAAUGUUCCUUGACUUGAUGUACAGUGGAAGCAGCUGGGAGCGGUGGCAGUUUGAAGGGACAGUUUGAGGGACAGUUUGAAGGACUAGGAUGGAUGUUUGACAAGUCUUCGCCCAAUGCUCAACUGUUGGUCAGUGGCACGUGACUCAAACACUGCAUUGCAUUAUGGGACGGAAGCAUGAAAGACAUGCUGAGAGAAACCUUAAUUUCUUUAAUGUAUUUCAGAAAAGACUUAGUCGAGUUAUUCGAGGCACUAGCAUUGAACGCUUAGCUUUUGUUUGUUUUUUUAAAUAGAAGAAUAAAGUUUAUUGGCUUGCAGUAGUAGUUCAUCUGAUUUAUAGUUAUUUAAAGUUUUAUCUUGUAUUAAAUUGUGUCUUUUGGGAAGUGAAGGAAUGAGAGGUAUGAGCUGAAAAAAACAUUUCCUUUCUUUCGAUUAAAAGAAGAAAGUCACAAUUGAGUGCAACACGACCGUUGCCAAACUUUGUUAGAAUAUGUGAUAAAUUAAAAGAAACUCUUGAUUUACUAUUGCCCCAUAUUCUGAAUCAAGCAUCUUAAGUUUGAAACCAUAUUCACUUAUUCACAAUGUAUGAAGCCCUGGCCUGAUCAGGAGUGUUCCCCAUACAUACAUGGGCAGUUUUAUCAUUAACCAGCAGUAUUUAUGAAGUUUUAGAUUAUGGAUUAGUCCCAUUGAAAUAAACUUCUCUUUUAUGUUUGUUGCGCA